AAAAUCUAUGUCAAAAUUUAUACGAAUAAAUAAAUUUUUUAUGGUUUAAAAAAUUUAUUUUAAAUUUGUUUUACAUAUAAAUUUUAGUGUUAAUUAUUAAUUAUUUAAAUAAUAUUUAAUUUUUACGUAGUAAUUAGUUUUAAAAAUUUAAGUAAUUAAGAUUUAGCAAUAUUAAAAUUGUUAAUAACUAAUUUUGUGCCAGCAGUUGCGGUUAUACAAAAAUUGAUUUGAAUUUUUUUAGUAAUUAAUAAUUAAUUAUUUUAUAAUAAUUUAAAAUUUAAAUUAUAUGGUGAAAUUUUAAUUUAAUAAAAAAUUAUUUUAUAUUUAUGAAUUAAUAAAUUUUAUGAAAAACUAGGAUUAGAUACCCUAUUAUGAAAAAUUUAAAUUAAUUAAUACUUAAAUAGUAAAUAAUUAUUUAUUGAAACUUAAAUAAUUUGGCGGUAUUUUAGUUUAUUUAGAGGAAUCUGUUUAAUAAUUGAUAAUCCACGAAUAAAUUUACUUAAUUUAAUAUUUUAUAUAUCGUUGUUAAAAAAAUAUUUUUUAAUAAAAAUAAUAUUUUAAAAUUUUUAUUAAAAAUGAAAUCAGAUCAAGAUGUAGAUUAUAAUUAAGAAUAUAAUGGAUUACAAUAAAUUUAUUUAAAUGGAAUUUAAUAUGGAAUAAUUAAUUGAAAUUGGAUUUAAAUGUAAUUUUAUUUAAAUUAAUGAAAUGAUUUAAUAUUAAAAUAUGUACAUAUUGCCCGUCGCUUUCAUUUAUAAAUUGAAAUAAGUCGUAACAAAGUAGGGGUACUGGAAAGUGUUUCUAGAAAGAU
This 808-nucleotide non-coding RNA is filed under the name Sataspes xylocoparis. Lineage: Eukaryota; Metazoa; Arthropoda; Insecta; Lepidoptera; Sphingidae. The record is from RNAcentral.